Molecule: ribosomal RNA, 468 nt
Filed under: uncultured bacterium
Lineage: Bacteria
Description: partial 16S ribosomal RNA
Rfam family: Bacterial small subunit ribosomal RNA
Source: RNAcentral
GACGAACGAUGGCGGCGGGAGGAACACAUGCAAGUCGAACGGAAAGGCCCUGCUUUUGUGGGGUGCUCGAGUGGCGAACGGGUGAGUAACACGUGAGUAACCUGCCCUUGACUUUGGGAUAACUUCAGGAAACUGGGGCUAAUACCGGAUAGGAGCUCCUGCUGCAUGGUGGGGGUUGGAAAGUUUCGGCGGUUGGGGAUGGACUCGCGGCUUAUCAGCUUGUUGGUGGGGUAGUGGCUUACCAAGGCUUUGACGGGUAGCCGGCCUGAGAGGGUGACCGGCCACAUUGGGACUGAGAUACGGCCCAGACUCCUACGGGAGGCAGCAGUGGGGAAUAUUGCACAAUGGGCGGAAGCCUGAUGCAGCAACGCCGCGUGCGGGAUGACGGCCUUCGGGUUGUAAACCGCUUUCGCCUGUGACGAAGCGUGAGUGACGGUAAUGGGUAAAGAAGCACCGGCUAACUACGUG